CGGGGGUCGGGAGAGGCGUCAGGAUCCCUGGCGCCGCCUGAGCCAGCGGCUGCUAGGAGGCUGUGUCCGCAAGCCAGCGGGGCGAGGCGGCUGGGCCCUGCGCGUCAGGUCCCGGCCUGGGGCACCGGGGCUGCCAGCGUCGGAGGAGGCCUGAGACCUGGGAGGAAGCUGGAGAAAAGAUGCCCUCUGAAUCUUUCUGUUUGGCUGCCCAGGCUCGCCUCGACUCCAAAUGGUUGAAAACAGAUAUACAGAUGAUAGUGUCGAACCAAGUGGAACAAAGAAAGAAGAUCUGAAUGACAAAGAGAAAAAAGAUGAAGACGAAACUCCUGCACCUGUAUAUAGGGCCAAGUCAAUUCUGGAGACCUGGGUGUGGGUCAAGCAACCAGGUAAUCUUCUGAGUUUUGGCACUUUGGAAAGCUUGAUCUGAUGCUCCUUUUCUAAAUAACAUGGGUGGAUUAUUCGUAUUUUUUGGUAACAAUUUUAAAAAAUGUAAUUAAAAAAAUUUAAAUAUCGUGGUAAAAUAUACAUACCGUAAAACUUGCCAUUUUAAUCAUUUUUAUGUGUACAGUUCAUUGGCAUUAAGUAUAUUCACAUUAUUGCCCAGCCAUCACCACCAUCCAUCUCUACAACUUUUGCCCUUUCUCUAACUGAAACUCCGUAUCCAUGAAACACUAACUCCUUCUGUCCCCAGGCAACCACCAUUCUACUUUUGUCUCAGAAUUUGACUACUCAAGGUGUCUCCUAUAAGGGGAAUCAUACAGUAUUUGUCCUUUUGUGACUGGGUUAUUGAACUUCUUAGGUGUUUGGGGUUCAUCCGCAUGUGUCAGAAUUUUCUUUUAAAGGCUCAAUGCUAUUCCAUUAUAUAUGUAAGCCACAUGUUAUCCCUUCAUCAGUGGGCAAUCAGGUUGCUUUCAUCUCUUGACUGUUGUGAGUAAUGCUGCUAUGAACAUUGGUUUACGAGUGUCUUGAGUGUCCGCUUUUAAUUCUUUGUGUCUAUACCUAGG
Molecule: long non-coding RNA, 1004 nt
Filed under: Pan troglodytes (chimpanzee)
Lineage: Eukaryota; Metazoa; Chordata; Mammalia; Primates; Hominidae
Description: long non-coding RNA NONPTRT005565
Source: RNAcentral